Molecule: ribosomal RNA, 422 nt
Filed under: uncultured bacterium
Lineage: Bacteria
Description: partial 16S ribosomal RNA
Rfam family: Bacterial small subunit ribosomal RNA
Source: RNAcentral
AAUCUUCCGCAAUGGACGCAAGUCUGACGGAGCAACGCCGCGUGAGCGAGGAAGGUCUUCGGAUCGUAAAGCUCUGUUGCCAGGGAAGAAAAGGCGCUUGUUGACGGCAGGCGCAUUGACGGUACCUGAGACAGAAAGCACCGGCUAACUACGUGCCAGCAGCCGCGGUAAUACGUAGGGGGCGAGCGUUGUCCGGAAUUACUGGGCGUAAAGGGUACGUAGGCGGCUAUAUAAGUCAGGUGUGAAAUACCAGUGCUUAACACUGGAAUUGCAUUUGAAACUGUGUAGCUUGAGUGCAGGAGAGGAAAGUGGAAUUCCUAGUGUAGCGGUGAAAUGCGUAGAGAUUAGGAGGAACACCAGUGGCGAAGGCGACUUUCUGGACUGUAACUGACGCUGAGGUACGAAAGCGUGGGUAGCGAACA